UGGGGAAUAUUGCACAAUGGGGGAAACCCUGAUGCAGCGACGCCGCGUGAAGGAAGAAGUAUUUCGGUAUGUAAACUUCUAUCAGCAGGGAAGAAAAUGACGGUACCUGACUAAGAAGCCCCGGCUAACUACGUGCC
RNAcentral lists this ribosomal RNA (137 nucleotides) under uncultured bacterium. RNAcentral describes it as "partial 16S ribosomal RNA". It matches the Rfam family "Bacterial small subunit ribosomal RNA", at positions 355 to 509 of the family's 1533-position model. The record is from RNAcentral.